UGACUGCAGAUGGACACUCUCUCAGCUCUCAUGGUUCCACUAAUGCUCCUGUUGUUCCAUCUGUCUGAAGCACCAUCGGAUCUGAUCGUGGUAUCAGUGCACCCUGGAGAGGAUGCCAUUUUGCCAUGCAGGGCCGCUGACGUCUCCAUCAGAGCUGUAGAGUGGACCAGACCUGACCUGGAACCAGAGUACGUCCUCUUCUACAGAGAUGGACACUUGGACACAACCCACCAGCAUCUAUCCUAUAAGGACAGAGUGCAGCUGCUGGACAGACAUCUGAAGGAUGGAGAUGUGUCUUUAAUUCUGAAGAAUGUGAGGAGACAAGACAGAGGAACAUACGAGUGUUGAGUAGCAUCAGUUGGUUUCACACGUACAAAGAGAGCAAUCCUUGACUCGGAGCCAAUCAGAACCAUCAAACUGCAGAUUACAGGUUUAAACAGUGGAAACUCCAAGGAUGAAAACUCAACUCCUGUAGGCCUAUACAUUGGAUUGGGAGUAUUUUUUGCACUGCUUUUUUAACUGGACAGUUAAUGGUGGACAGAUGGCUAUUUCAGUUAGAUUGGAUUAGAUUAGAUUAGAUCAGAUUCAAUUUUAGUGUCAUUGUGCAGAGUACAAGUACGAAGACAACGAAAAGCAUUUUGCGUUCAACCAGAAGUGCAAAAAGAGCAGAAAAUUGCAAUGUGAUAUACUUAACAUGACCCACGUCUACAUUUACAACUCUGUAUUACAAAAAUUGCCGUUUACAACCAGUAAAGACAAAUAAAUAUGAAGACAAACCCUGGAUUACUAGGGGACUAGAAAAUGCUUGUAAAAAAAAGUUUUUUGGAACCAAACAGUAUGGGUAGACACUAUCUUGUGGACAAAAGAUCACAGAUUAAACUGACCUCUGAGAGACAAAAGAACAGAAUCUGCAGAAGAGGAAAACAACGUUUUCAACCAAGCUUGUUUUCACAUGCCCUUGGAAUCAACAAGCUUUUCCGCGCACCACUGACAAGUGGGUCGGAGUUUGUUCCAUUACCGUGGAGAAACACAAAUUAACGGACUGCACACCAAGUAAGCCUUUAUUGUUCUUGGCAUAGAUAUAGGACAGUAUGUUUUAUUAAUGAGUUAAGUCUAAUGUUGCCAUUGUUUUGCCAUUAGUCUGUGAUCGGGACUGCCGUGUCCCAGUUGCUGUGAAUGUAUCAUUUGAUCACAAUAUAUUGUUGAGAUGUUGUGUUGAAUAAUGUAGCUUAGUUAAACUGUAAAUGAUACCAUUGCUAUCUCCCGCUGUGGAGAAGUUAGAUUGUCAGAACCUCAAAGAUCAAGACUCCAAGUGCUCUUUGUUUCCCUAUCUAAGUGUGCUUUCUUUCCUACCCUAACCCUAACCCGGGGCACAUGGAAGGUUCUAAACAACAUUAUCAAAAAAGGUACUGGGAAAUCAAAUUAUCCAGACCACUUUAAUAAAAACAACCAAUCACUAAUAAUAGACACAAAGGAGACUAUAGCUGAAAACCUUUUCAAUUUGCGUCCUAUCAAAAGUGGUGAUGGCCCUUUCAGUUAUUACAGUAGACAUACAAGUUUACAGAAAAGACUAGGAUCCAAUUUGUCAGUGCCAGUGGACUUCCUUGGAUCAAUGUCACAGAGAGCAUUGAGCAGUUCAAGUCUUGAGAAGGGUGUAAAGGAGAAACUGCAUCCCAGGAUCCCCUGGCAUACUAGAUGACUUGUCACUUAAUGGAACAAUUAAGGGUGAAUUCUGGAAUACGUGGCCGGCAGUAACAAAGUGUUUAUUAAAGAUAUUGCAUAAGUCUUUCUUAUUAGAGACAGUGACAGAAUCCUAAGUACUCUGAUUGGGUAAGGAUGUGGAAGGGCUAUGAGUUAGUGACUUAAUGGCCCAAUCCAAGACUCACAGACUUAAUUUAUCUCAGGUGCUAAGUGAGUGAGUGGGUGAGGCCACAUGGGCUCAGAUAGGUAUAAAUGGGAUUGGGACAGCACUUCACGAGAUAACAUGUUACCUUGGCGCCAUUUAAUAACAAAGAUACUGCUGACACUGGCCGGUUUGGGAAUUUUCAUAGAAGAUUGGUUAGCACUGCAUAUUACGACUCGGUAAUAAGAUGGUAAUAGUGGGGUAACAGUGAGAUAAUAAAGAGGUAAUAUAUAGGUAAUAACAUGUAAUUACCAAAGUAAUAACGUGGUAAUACAUCACAGUAAUAAGAUGUAAUACUGGGGUAAUAAGAUAAGGUAACAGAUGUAAUAACAUGCAAUUACCAAUGUAAUAAGUAAGAAAGGGUUUGACAAUAACCAUAUGUAUAUCGAGUUAAUGGUAAUAUAGUUAUAUUUAUAUUCUAAUAACGUGGUAAUAAUGGGGUAAUAUAUGUUGAUGUUUUCACAGUAUUAUAGGCUACUAUCAGCGUAAUACCUUCCAAAUUAGAUAAAACUUCUUGGAAUUUAAAAUUGGUAAUAACCAUAUUAUAAUGCUGAAAUUCAUCCACCCUUUAUGUUCCAAACAUUUCCCUUUUGUUUCAAGGUAAUACUUUAUGUUAAUUUAUGUUAAUGAUGUUUAAUCUUGUGGCUUCUUACCUGGAAACGCUUCUGGUAGUUUGUGUGUAACAACCAUGAAUCAGUACCACAAAAUGCAAAACUGCCUGUUUCUAUUGUAUUACAUGGUAAUAUUA
This is a long non-coding RNA of Perca fluviatilis (European perch), 2651 nucleotides long. RefSeq lists it as uncharacterized. The transcript is spliced from 3 exons. The record is from RefSeq and is a predicted model, not a curated record. NCBI's taxonomy places the organism in Eukaryota, Metazoa, Chordata, Actinopteri, Perciformes, Percidae.